AUACGGAGGGUGCAAGCGUUAUCCGGAAUCACUGGGUUUAAAGGGUGCGUAGGCGGCUCAAUCAGUCAGGGGUGAAGUCUUGCAGCUUAACUGUAAAAUUGCCUUUGAUACUGUUGAGCUUGAAUUAGGUUGAGGUUGGCGGAAUGUGACAUGUAGCGGUGAAAUGCAUAGAUAUGUCAUAGAACACCAAUUGCGAAGGCAGCUGGCUAGACCUUAAUUGACGCUGAGGCACGAAAGCGUGGGGAGCGAACAGGAUUAGAUACCCUAGUAGUCC
RNAcentral lists this ribosomal RNA (274 nucleotides) under uncultured bacterium. RNAcentral's name for it is "partial 16S ribosomal RNA". It matches the Rfam family "Bacterial small subunit ribosomal RNA", at positions 523 to 796 of the family's 1533-position model. The record is from RNAcentral.